This 541-nucleotide unclassified non-coding RNA is filed under the name Hevea brasiliensis (rubber tree). Lineage: Eukaryota; Viridiplantae; Streptophyta; Magnoliopsida; Malpighiales; Euphorbiaceae. The record is from RNAcentral.
GGAAAACAUAAAUUUUAUUAUAAAAAAAUAUAGUGAAAAAAAUAAUUUUUCAAGUUUUACUUAAAUUUUAAAAAAUUAAAAAAAUUAAUUUUUCGAUUCUUCAUUUAGAAAACUGACAUAUUUAAAUAUCAAAACUCUAUAUUUCAGUUUUCUUAUAAAAUUUUUCUAAAGUAUUUUAGUUUUCCACGAGUCUUAAAGAAUCUUCACUUCCUAACUACUUCCCAACAUCUCUACAAGUAACAAUUCUCUAUUUAAUCUUGUCCACUUGCUUAUAUAUAUAUAUAUAUAGUGUUAGAUUUCUUUAUAAUUUGUUGAAAGAAUGUAUUUGCUCACCUAAUACCUAACCCUAAAAAAAUUAAUUAAGAAUUCUAAAACCCAAAAGUAAUUGCAGAAUUUCAGGCCCUAUUGUGAUAUUGUUGACAUUCUCUAGUCAUUUUCUUCUCUAAAACUUUUCCUAGGCAGGUUGACUGCGUUCAAGAAAACAUGUACUGCCCUAAGACUCUCAAGUUAAAUUAGACUUUUAUUUUAUUUUUCAUUUUUA